RNAcentral lists this small nuclear RNA (164 nucleotides) under Salvator merianae (Argentine black and white tegu). RNAcentral's name for it is "U1 spliceosomal RNA (ENSSMRG00000001335.1)". It matches the Rfam family "U1 spliceosomal RNA". Rfam says of the family: U1 is a small nuclear RNA (snRNA) component of the spliceosome (involved in pre-mRNA splicing). Its 5' end forms complementary base pairs with the 5' splice junction, thus defining the 5' donor site of an intron. The record is from RNAcentral. Lineage: Eukaryota; Metazoa; Chordata; Lepidosauria; Squamata; Teiidae.
AUACUUACCUGCCAGGGGAGACACCUUGAUCAUGAAGGACGUUUUCCCAGGGUGAGGCUCAGCCNUUGCACUCCGGCUGUGCUGACUGCUGCNAUUUCCCCAAAUGUGGGAAACUUGACUGCAUACUUUGUGGUAGUGGGAGACUGCAUGCNUGCUUUCCCCUU